Molecule: ribosomal RNA, 312 nt
Filed under: Glomus sp. (unid)
Lineage: Eukaryota; Fungi; Glomeromycota; Glomeromycetes; Glomerales; Glomeraceae
Source: RNAcentral
CAGUCGUACCUGCGGAUAAUCAGCCUUUAGGAUGCGAUUUUGUGGAGCGUGAGGAGCUAAUCGCCUUCAUGCCUAUAUAUUCGUGUACUUGGGGUGUACUUAUUCGUGAGGUAAGUUAACAUCAAUUUUGGUCGUCAUAAAAUGACUGGAGGAAUGUAGCUUCGAUCUCGUAUUGAAGUGUUAUAGCCUUCGGCAGAUGUGAUGAUCGAGAUUGAGGAUUGCAACGGAUACCCUUCGGGGCUACCUGUCUGAUCUCUGAUCGUUGCUCUGGUACCGAAAGCGUGCUUACGGUUAUCAAAGUCGAUGGUCAAC